Molecule: long non-coding RNA, 692 nt
Organism: Lagopus muta (rock ptarmigan)
Lineage: Eukaryota; Metazoa; Chordata; Aves; Galliformes; Phasianidae
Exons: 3
Source: RefSeq, a predicted model, not a curated record
AGACCCACAGCUCUGUGGGAUCAGUCAUAGGCAUGAAGGUGCCAGGGGCUGCAAACUAUUUCUAGGAUCAGAGCCUUAACUUCUGACUCAGUAUUUACAUUGCAAAAUAUGACUGUCCUCUGAGGGUGAGCAUGUACCAGUUUCCUUUCCUCCAUCAUUUCCAGAUAAAUCAAUGGAGAUUCCUGUCAAAACAGUAUUUAUGUAUGUACGUAUAUGUAUGUAUGUAUUUAUUUAUUUAUUUGCUCCAAAGGUGAUUGCAUUCACUCCCAAGAACCCAAAUGAUAGACACAAUACUUAGCCUCAAAGAUUUUUGCAUGACAUUCCCAUUUCAUAACUGUAGUGGAAAUGCUAAGUCAGGGCUUGAACCAGCGAUUGAGCCCCUGGUGGGAAGGCAGGGCCAACCCAGUGGAGCUCAGCUGCAUGCAAUGUGCCUGAGUGACUGAAAAGGGUGGAGCCAGGAUCAACCCUUCCCCAGACAUCAUUUAAGGGUUGGCAGUGGAAGCAAGCAUGUCUUGUUGGUGAUCCUUGUGUGUUUGAGAUCUUCUGAAGUAGUAAUCCCACAGAUGCCUGAGGAAACGCAUUUGCCUACAUGAAAACAAAGCCAUUGUAGAAACUGUUCUGAUAUCCAUCAUUGAAGCUCUUUAUUGGCAGUGUAGCUGGAGUAACAACAUGGAAUCAAUGAUAUCAUCAAG